Molecule: long non-coding RNA, 1600 nt
Filed under: Triticum aestivum (bread wheat)
Lineage: Eukaryota; Viridiplantae; Streptophyta; Magnoliopsida; Poales; Poaceae
Description: long non-coding RNA (TAES_LNC005468)
Source: RNAcentral
CGCGCCUGAGGACGGUCGCCGCCCACCGGCACCGAGGGCCGCCCCCGGCCUCCUCCUUGCAGCUCCCCUUCUCUCUCUCCCACCCCCUUUCCCUCUUAGGAAGCUCGCCCGAGCACACCCAUCACCGCGCCGUCCCGUUGGCGCGACCACCGGUCGCAGCUCGCCAAUCCGACGCGUCGAGGAGCCCUGCCCGACUGUUCUCUGUCGACCUCCAUCCUAGAUCGAGGCGGGGAAGCCUCAACGUCGUCGCCGUCGUUCUCUUCUUCGUCGGCGCCGCACGCCACGUUCGUCGUCGAUCCACUGGCCCCGUCGACCCCUCCACGAGCUCCUUGGUGAGCUCCGCGUGCCUCCUCCCUCUCUCUGCCGCUUGAUUCACUCCCGCAGCUUGCUGUCCCCAUUGCCGGAGCUCUGCUUCCACCGCCAUGUACCCCCUGUCGUUUUGGUCUAUCCCCGGGCUGGAUGAGUGCUCAGAUGAGCUCAGGGCGCCCCCUGAUGUUCCCCUGCUAGUUAGCUGGCUCAAACGUGAGCUAUCCCGUCGAACCCAGCCACCCCACUUCCUGUUGCCACCGGCCCUCGUCAUUGGGGUUACCUCCGGCCUCCCCAGCGUCACCCAGGACCACCAUUCGAUGCAGCAUCAAGCUCGCGUUCGAACAAGCCCGACCGCGUCCGGUUUGGAUCACCACCGCCCGUUUCCGACGAGGUCCCAUGGCCCUUCGCCAUGUUUGGCACUGCCGCCGGCACGCCACCGCAGUUGAACAUGGCUGGGGCACUACCAAGUGCCCCGUGCUUGUUAGGUAGCUAAUUAGGAGCUAAUGGCCCACUCACAUGUGUGCCCGCCACUGUAGCACUUAGUUAGGUUAAAUUAACUAGGUAAUUUUUGGAGACACUGAGAACAUGGGCCUGAUACGUCUCAGUCGUAUCUACUUCUCCAAACACUUUUGCCCUUGUUUUGGACUCUAACUUGCAUGAUUUGAAUGGAACUAACCCGGACUGACGUUGUUUUCAGCAGAAUUGACAUGGUGUUAUUUAUGUGCAGAAACAAAAGUUCUCGGAAUGACCUGAAACUUCACGGAGAUUAUUUUUGGAAAUAAUAAAAAAUACUGGAAAAGAUCAAGACCAGGGGGCCCACACCCUAGCCAUGAGGGUGGGGGCGCACCUGCCCCCCUGGGCGUGCCUGACUAAGCUAUGUACCUAGGGUAGGGUCAUGGAGAUGCCCUCCCCAAGGACAUCUCUAAAAGAACCAGAAGCAGUCGGAGAGAAAUCAUCACCCACUUGACCAUGAAGUUAUGUUCCACUCGACAUCCUUGAAGACACUCGACCAUGCGAACAACCAUUCGACCGUCAGAAGAUGUGAAGACACUCACUCCACAACGGUCGAGAUUUAAGUCAUAGCUUUAUGGUCAUUUAUAGCACUUUACUCCAGACGUUACCAGUAAUGCUCCUCCUUUAUGAACAUUGAACCCUGUGUAACGGAGGGAAGCUGGGGUCCUGGCGCACUCUAUAUAAGCCACCCCUCUCCUCUGGGACAAGGGUUUGCACCUUUUGUAAUUUACACGCGUAUAUCCAGUCGACCGCCUCCGAGCUCCGAGACGUAGGGCUG